GUGAGGAAUUUUCCGCAAUGGGCGAAAGCCUGACGGAGCAAUGCCGCGUGAAGGAUGAAGGCCUAUGGGUUGUAAACUUCUUUUCUCAGAAAAGAAUUAUGACGGUAUCUGAGGAAUAAGCAUCGGCUAACUCUGUGCCAGCAGCCGCGGUAAGACAGAGGAUGCAAGCGUUAUCCGGAAUGAUUGGGCGUAAAGCGUCUGUAGGUUGUUUAAAAAGUAUUCUGUCAAAGAUUAGGGCUUAACCCUAGAUAGGCAGAAUAAACUUUUAAGCUAGAGGUUGGUAGAGGCAGAGGGAAUUCCCGGUGGAGCGGUGAAAUGCGUAGAUAUCGGGAGGAACACCAAAGGCGAAGGCACUCUGCUGGGCCAAUACUAACACUGAGAGACGAAAGCGAGGGGAGCAAAAGGGAUUAGAUACCCCAGUAGUCC
Molecule: ribosomal RNA, 426 nt
Filed under: uncultured bacterium
Lineage: Bacteria
Description: partial 16S ribosomal RNA
Rfam family: Bacterial small subunit ribosomal RNA
Source: RNAcentral